RNAcentral lists this ribosomal RNA (497 nucleotides) under uncultured bacterium. RNAcentral's name for it is "partial 16S ribosomal RNA". It matches the Rfam family "Bacterial small subunit ribosomal RNA", at positions 28 to 507 of the family's 1533-position model. The record is from RNAcentral.
GAUGAACGCUGGCGGCGUGCCUAAUACAUGCAAGUCGAGCGAACAGAUGAGGAGCUUGCUCCUCUGACGUUAGCGGCGGACGGGUGAGUAACACGUGGAUAACCUACCUAUCAGACUGGGAUAACUUCGGGAAACCGGAGCUAAUACCGGAUAAUAUAUUGAACCGCAUGGUUCAAUAGUGAAAGACGGUUUUGCUGUCACUUAUAGAUGGAUCCGCGCCGCAUUAGCUAGUUGGUAAGGUAACGGCUUACCAAGGCAACGAUGCGUAGCCGACCUGAGAGGGUGAUCGGCCACACUGGAACUGAGACACGGUCCAGACUCCUACGGGAGGCAGCAGUAGGGAAUCUUCCGCAAUGGGCGAAAGCCUGACGGAGCAACGCCGCGUGAGUGAUGAAGGUCUUCGGAUCGUAAAACUCUGUUAUUAGGGAAGAACAAAUGUGUAAGUAACUAUGCACGUCUUGACGGUACCUAAUCAGAAAGCCACGGCUAACUACGUG